Molecule: ribosomal RNA, 484 nt
Filed under: uncultured bacterium
Lineage: Bacteria
Description: partial 16S ribosomal RNA
Rfam family: Bacterial small subunit ribosomal RNA
Source: RNAcentral
AUUGAACGCUGGCGGCAGGCCUAACACAUGCAAGUCGAGCGGAUGAAGGGAGCUUGCUCCUGGAUUCAGCGGCGGACGGGUGAGUAAUGCCUAGGAAUCUGCCUGGUAGUGGGGGAUAACGCCCGGAAACGGGCGCUAAUACCGCAUACGUCCUGAGGGAGAAAGUGGGGGAUCUUCGGACCUCACGCUAUCAGAUGAGCCUAGGUCGGAUUAGCUAGUUGGUGGGGUAAAGGCCUACCAAGGCGACGAUCCGUAACUGGUCUGAGAGGAUGAUCAGUCACACUGGACCUGAGACACGGUCCAGACUCCUACGGGAGGCAGCAGUGGGGAAUAUUGGACGAUGGGCGAAAGCCUGAUCCAGCCAUGCCGCGUGUGUGAAGAAGGUCUUCGGAUUGUAAAGCACUUUAAGUUGGGAGGAAGGGCAGUAAGUUAAUACCUUGCUGUUUUGACGUUACCAACAGAAUAAGCACCGGCUAACUUCGUG